UUCUGGGGGUUAAUAGUGAUAAUUCUCCUAAGUCAUUUUUCCAUUUCGUUUUUCUGUCACGGGCUUGGAGCGGUUAAGAGACUGCGGCUCCCAGCAUGCGGUACGUUACUGAUCAGGGCAAAAUCAAGUAUGUUACUACAUGCUUCUCAAACUAGAGAGGCACAGCCCCAAUUCUGCACUGGCAGGAUACAAAACAGCAGAAUAUUGGUGAUACAUCUUCCUGGAACAUCAGUUUUUCUAUGAGAUGUGGAAGAAAUGGAAUUAAGUAGUUUACAAGACAGUUGCUUUGUGUGUGGUAGCAGUGGCCCAAGACUGAAACAUCACGGAUGUACCUCUCCUUUGUCGACAUUCCAAAACUCCACAAAGUGACUGGUGUGAUCCUGAUGGUCUACCAAUUGUAUUUGGAAGCACCGUGAAGCUUUUCCAGCAAACCAUUUAGUUUAAAAUGUUGCAUAUUUUGAAGAUGCAAAAUAAAUUCUAUCUAUGUAAAUAUCAGCUGAAAAAUGUAUUGAGAGAUAUAAACUGCCCUCUUCUCAAGAGAGACCCCACAGAGUCUUGCAGCUUUAAGUCCUCCUCUCUGGCUGCUGAUAACCCCUAGAUGUGGCGCCUCUUCCCUGAGCGGAGUAUCCAGAUGACUCUAGUACAAGGACUCACCCCUGACUUCUUCCCUUCUCACCCGCCAUGCAAUCCCACAGUAAGUCUUGUGGCCCUGCCUGCAGCACGCAUCCUGAUUGCAGCCUCUUCUUGCUCUCUGCGUUUCUACAGCCAGUUUCAGCCACCUUCGUCACUUACUGGCCUGCUGCCCAAGACUGCCUCCAAACCUUCUCCUUGCUGCCUCUCUUGCCCUCCCACAGUCCAUUCUCCACUCAGCAUCCAGAGUGAUCUCUUAAAAACAUGAAAAACAUAAUAUACCCCCACAGCCCCAUUUAGAC
This 932-nucleotide long non-coding RNA is filed under the name Homo sapiens (human). RNAcentral describes it as "HSALNT0100537". The record is from RNAcentral. Lineage: Eukaryota; Metazoa; Chordata; Mammalia; Primates; Hominidae.